This 497-nucleotide ribosomal RNA is filed under the name uncultured bacterium. RNAcentral describes it as "partial 16S ribosomal RNA". It matches the Rfam family "Bacterial small subunit ribosomal RNA", at positions 29 to 507 of the family's 1533-position model. The record is from RNAcentral.
UACGAACGCUGGCGGCGUGCCUAAUACAUGCAAGUUGAGCGCUGAAGGUUGGUACUUGUACCAACUGGAUGAGCAGCGAACGGGUGAGUAACGCGUGGGGAAUCUGCCUUUGAGCGGGGGACAACAUUUGGAAACGAAUGCUAAUACCGCAUAAAAACUUUAAACACAAGUUUUAAGUUUGAAAGAUGCAAUUGCAUCACUCAAAGAUGAUCCCGCGUUGUAUUAGCUAGUUGGUGAGGUAAAGGCUCACCAAGGCGAUGAUACAUAGCCGACCUGAGAGGGUGAUCGGCCACAUUGGGACUGAGACACGGCCCAAACGCCUACGGGAGGCAGCAGUAGGGAAUCUUCGGCAAUGGACGAAAGUCUGACCGAGCAACGCCGCGGGAGUGAAGAAGGGUGUCGGAUCGUAAAACUCGGUUGGUAGAGAAGAACGUUGGUGAGAGUGGAAAGCUCAUCAAGUGACGGUAACUACCCAGAAAGGGACGGCUAACUACGUG